Molecule: non-coding RNA, 98 nt
Organism: Ceratotherium simum simum (southern white rhinoceros)
Lineage: Eukaryota; Metazoa; Chordata; Mammalia; Perissodactyla; Rhinocerotidae
Source: RefSeq, a predicted model, not a curated record
UCUGGAACCCUAAUACAGACAGGAAUCAGCGUAAUGAGACAGGGCCAUCUGCAAGGCCCCUGGCCUAACAAGAUAAGGCUCCUAACCAAUUCGCAAGC